AACAAGUUUCUUUACAAUAUGAAUUUGAUGCUCAGAAGUGUACAACAACUUCAGAAUUGUUGUGUACAAACAUAAAAGGGCACAACCUGAUUCAAGUGAGUUGGACAUCUCAAAUACAAAAUGGCAUAUAUAACCUUAUUUAUUUAAGAACAUUCACUAAGUAAAUUAAUUAUGUUUGAUCUUCGCAUUGACGCCACUGAACAAUUGAAUCUCCACAAGUUAUACAAGUUGAUUUCCUCCAUACUGUAAAUUUUCAUCUAGUUAAACACAUGCCUAGUUUGCUGGGGCUACCUGAAACCUGAUCUGCAGAGGCCAUCAGAACAUGUCCCGCAGGGUGGAAGCUCAUUUUCAGCAACAACUUUGCAAAACACACAAAUUAGAAAGGUGGAAAGUAGAUGAUAUUAAGCAAUAAGCAAGCAUAAGCAUGACGAAAAAUAGCACAUCUAUAGGUUUAGGCAAUGUAUAGUUCAAUCGCAGUCAUCAUCUGACAUUUGCAAUAAUGGAUAAAUAGAAUGCAAGUGACUACUAUUGCCUUUCCAGUCUGGAACAAAUAUUUGCAAAAAUAGAAUGGUAUUUUCACCUGGUUGUUUUCCAUCCAUGCUAUGCAAAUUUUAUGUCUGCCAUGAAGUUUCAUAAGUUGACUUUUUAGUUGUCACGUUUUGUAACCAUCUAGUCGUAUUGCUAAAAAAAAGUCACUUGUGAUUAUCAGGUGCUAUCACAGAUUGUCCCUAAAAAAAAAUUUCAAUAAGAAUGCAUGGAUGUAGAAUUAGUAAGCUUUCAACGUCGGUGGUAUACAACAUGGUCGUAGAGCUUACCGUUUUAGAGGCUGAACAUUUUACCGAACACCUUGCAGGCAGCGGAGGCUACAGCAGCUUCAACGUGGGGAAGGGGGCGGUGCUGCACAGGGCCGGGCCAGUAAGCUAGGAUGUAACGGAGCCCGGGUCCCAGGAACACCACGAUUUCCGCCAUCUUCAGCCAAGGCUCUCCAUGAGCCCACAGCUUGGAACUCAAUUUUUUGGUGAACCGCGUUCAAUCCGACGAGGAGCAACAUGGUUAUGGGUGGGAAAAGAUCAAGUUAUCAAGGAGGAACUCGAUUUGGGCUGCAGCGAGGCUCACUCUGAUAAAUCUUUUCUGGUGGAGGGGAUAUGCGACGGGGAGGAGAGCAGGGAGGGAAGGGAAGGGGAGACGAGGAGUGGAAGAGCCAAGGGAGGUUGAGGCUACGGCAGGGAGAGCGGGCAGCGGCAACCCGUCGGGCGAGCGCAGGUCGGUGGCGAGGAGAGCGAUGUGAAUGUGAGUCAGCACACCGGACGACGCAGGAGAAGCACGAGCUCUCCUCCAGCUUCAGCGGGCGGAGGCGGAGGGGAUAAAGUGUGCUGGGAUCGACGGCUCGAGCAAACGCGACUGCUACUGUAGGAGGCUUGGGCGGCUGCGGCAAAGGAAUUAGAGUUGGCAAUGGGCCGGCGAAAUCGAUGGCCGGCGGCAAGCAGGCGGCGGCGGGCCGCGGGCCGUGCUGCAGGUGGAGGGAGGAGCGUCCGGCGCGGCAGGCGUAGAGC
RNAcentral lists this long non-coding RNA (1553 nucleotides) under Panicum hallii. RNAcentral's name for it is "long non-coding RNA (PHAL_LNC000299)". The record is from RNAcentral. Lineage: Eukaryota; Viridiplantae; Streptophyta; Magnoliopsida; Poales; Poaceae.